GACGAACGCUGGCGGCGUGCUUAACACAUGCAAGUCGAACGGAAAGGCCCUGCUUUUGUGGGGUGCUCGAGUGGCGAACGGGUGAGUAACACGUGAGUAACCUGCCCUUGACUUUGGGAUAACUUCAGGAAACUGGGGCUAAUACCGGAUAGGAGCGCCUGCUGCAUGGUGGGGGUUGGAAAGUUUCGGCGGUUGGGGAUGGACUCGCGGCUUAUCAGCUUGUUGGUGGGGUAGUGGCUUACCAAGGCUUUGACGGGUAGCCGGCCUGAGAGGGUGACCGGCCACAUUGGGACUGAGAUACGGCCCAGACUCCUACGGGAGGCAGCAGUGGGGAAUAUUGGACAAUGGGCGGAAGCCUGAUGCAGCAACGCCGCGUGCGGGAUGACGGCCUUCGGGUUGUAAACCGCUUUCGCCUGUGACGAAGCGUGAGUGACGGUAAUGGGUAAAGAAGCACCGGCUAACUACGUG
This 468-nucleotide ribosomal RNA is filed under the name uncultured bacterium. RNAcentral describes it as "partial 16S ribosomal RNA". It matches the Rfam family "Bacterial small subunit ribosomal RNA", at positions 28 to 507 of the family's 1533-position model. The record is from RNAcentral.